GUGCAGUGACGACGACGGCGAUGGUGGCACGGCGAUGGCUAUAACAGUGACCUAUAGGUGGACCGUGAGAGAGAGAGAGGGGCCAUACCUAAGAGAUCUGGAGAGAGAGAGGGAGAGAUCGUGAUCCGACAGACUUCAAAGAGGGAUGGUGGUGGUGGCAGAGGCGGAGCGAUGACGACGGUGGCAGAGGAGGAGCGAUGAUGACAAUGGCAGCCUUAGAGGAAGCAACAACUGUAAGAGAAGGAGAGGGGGGAGAGAGAGAGAAAGUGAGGGAGGGAGAGGGAGAA
RNAcentral lists this long non-coding RNA (287 nucleotides) under Elaeis guineensis (African oil palm). RNAcentral's name for it is "long non-coding RNA (EGUI_LNC006157)". Lineage: Eukaryota; Viridiplantae; Streptophyta; Magnoliopsida; Arecales; Arecaceae. The record is from RNAcentral.